GAUGAACGCUAGCGGGAGGCCUAACACAUGCAAGCCGAGCGGGAUUUGUUGGUUAGCUUGCUAACUAACAAUGAGAGCGGCGUACGGGUGCGUAGCACGUGUGCAACCUGCCUUUAUCUGGGGGAUAGCCUUUCGAAAGGAAGAUUAAUACCCCAUAACAUAUUGAUUGGCAUCAGUUAAUAUUGAAAGCUCCGGCGGAUAGAGAUGGGCACGCGUAAGAUUAGCUAGUUGGUGAGGUAACGGCUCACCAAGGCUGCGAUCCUUAGGGGGCCUGAGAGGGUGCUCCCCCGCACGGGUACUGGGGCACGGGCCAGGCUCCUACGGGAGGCAGCAGUGAGGAAUAUUGGACAAUGGGUGAGAGCCUGAUCCAGCCAUCCCGCGUGAAGGACUAAGGGCCUAUGGUUGGUAAACUUCUUUUAUACAGGGAUAAACCUACUCUCGUGAGGGUAGCUGAAGGUACUGUAUGAAUAAGCACCGGCUAACUCCGUG
Molecule: ribosomal RNA, 489 nt
Filed under: uncultured bacterium
Lineage: Bacteria
Description: partial 16S ribosomal RNA
Rfam family: Bacterial small subunit ribosomal RNA
Source: RNAcentral